RNAcentral lists this long non-coding RNA (2225 nucleotides) under Homo sapiens (human). RNAcentral's name for it is "HSALNT0376688". The record is from RNAcentral. Lineage: Eukaryota; Metazoa; Chordata; Mammalia; Primates; Hominidae.
UGAUCUCGAACUUCUUGGCUCAAGUGAUCUGCCUGCCUUCCAAAGUGCUGGGAUUACAGGCAUGAGCCACCAAGCGCAGCCAUGAUUUAUUAGAUCACUUCUAAAAGCCCUCUCUCCAUCUCCAAGCCAGCAAGUGCUUCUUUGCACCCCAGCUCUAAAACAAAGCCCUUGGGGACACAAUCAAAGACAGUAGUUGCCAAGAGGAAUAGGGAGCAUGGAAAGAAGGUGCUGGAUGUGCAUACAGCUAACCUGGUAACUCCAAACUGGAUGAGCUCAUUCCUUGAGACUGGAAUUACAAAAUUGGAACAGCUCACUAAUAAUUGAAGAUGAUUUGGGAAAACCAUUAUCCUUCCUCAGAACCUGUGACAAAUGAAAAUGGUUUUCCUAGAUAAGAACGAAACUGUGUUGGGUGGCUAACAAGAUUGAAACUCAUCUGACUUUGAGAAAUAAAUCAAUUUGGUUUGUUUAUUUACAAUCGUUAUUUUUCCUUUUACCAAUACCUAAGUUAUUUCACUGUAAAACUUUCAUAGAAGAAUUUCAGGAAAGGCUUGUAUUUACGUGUUAUAGAUGAGGUACACCACAGUGAUUUAGAUCAGCAGUCCCCAACCGUUUUGGCACCAGGGACCAGUUUCAUGGAAGACAAUUUUUCCACAGAUCAGGGGUGGGCAGAGUUUGGGGGAAUGGUUUCUGGAUGAUUCAAGCGGAUUACAUUUGUUGUGCACCAUAUUUCUAUUAUUAUUAUUGCAUUGUAAUAUGUAACAAAAUAGUUAUACAACUCCAUAAUGUAGACUCAGUGGGAGCCCUGAGCUUGUUUUCCUGCAACUAGACGGUCCCAUCUGAGGGUGAUGGGAGACAGUGACACCAAAGUGUGCUGCUUAUGUCCAGUCUACUUCGUAAUCUCAUUUUGAUUGCUGUCACUGCAGAAAACCCUGUAACAUUCUCAAAAUUCUAUUCUCUCUAGGGUAAAAUUAAACUGCGGGACAUAGCGCAGAAGACUUGUCACAAUUUAGGACCAACCUACCAAGACUUCUUGAUCUCUUUCCACUUCUUGCCCCUCACUGUGUUUGAUUUCUGCCUUCCAGUCUGAACUUCUCACUAUAUUCCAGAAAAGGCCUGUUAAAGAGAUCUGGUAGUCAAAAGCAACCUCUUUUUUGCUUGUGCUCUCUGUUAUACAUAAGAAACCAGUCCUGCUGCAGCUCCAUAUUUGCAUUACUAAUUUAAUCAGUUAGCGGGACACAUGCUCUUUAUAACCCAAAAAAUUGAAGCAUGAAAUUUGGGAGUCAUACCCAUCACCCAAAUGUGGCAUAACAAUGUUCUUCUUCCCCGCAAAGCAGUGUCCUUCCCCAAAGAAAUUCUGGGGAUUGGCAUUUUCUUCAUCCACUCCUUUCAUUAUUUCCUUUACCUAUUUCUCUGAGUCUAUUAGCAUCCUUGGAGGGGGGAAUGUAUCUUAUUUAUUGUUAUAUCUCCCAGGCUCACACAUCACUCAAUAAAGGUUUGUUGAAUGAAACAAUAAAUGGAUGCAAGACUAAAUGAACAAAGAAAAGCCACGGGGAAGAUAACAAUGUUAUGUCAUAAUUCAGGAUCAUCUUUUUCUGUUUUUUCCCCUCCAGCUUUAUUGAGGUAUAAUUGACAAAUAAAAAUUAUAUAUAUUCAAGGUGUCCAACAAGAUGUUUUGAUAUACAUAUACAUUGUGAAAUGAUUACCACAAUCAAACUAAUUAGCAUGUCCAUUACCUCACAUAAUUACCUUUUUUAUGUGUGCUGAGAAUACUUAAGAUUUGCUUUCUUAGCAAAUUUUAAGUAUACAAUACAUUAUGAUUAACUAUAGUCAUCAUACUUUACAGUAAGUCUCCAGAACUUACUUCAUCUGCAGGUUUGUACUCUGACCAACAUCAUCUUAUUUCACUCCCCACCCCACUUUCAGCACUGGUAACCACAUUUCUAUUCUAAGCCUUCUGGUGAAAUUUCUUUCUUAUUUCACUCCCAGUGAGUAACACAAGAGAAAAAUAAACAACAAAAGCCAGUCAAUAAUUAUAAAGUGAAUCUUACCAGUAUAGAGUUAUAAGCCUUGUUUUUACUUCACUGAUAAUGUUGUCGUGAACACUGUUUGAAUAAUGAAGACUAAAGGAAUGAUGGCAUGCACUGUGAGUUCUUGAUGUGGUUGAAGCAAAAUUCCCAACAAACAGACAUUUUGCUAUUUCAUUAGUGUUUAUGGCUGAUAAAUAC